Molecule: small RNA, 3210 nt
Filed under: Pan troglodytes (chimpanzee)
Lineage: Eukaryota; Metazoa; Chordata; Mammalia; Primates; Hominidae
Description: retained intron
Source: RNAcentral
UGUCGUAUCUGUGUAGGUAUGUGAUUCUUUGGAUAAAUGAUUCACUGUAUCUUCCUCAAAACUAGGUUAUUUGAAAGACUAAGAUCAUUCAACUGAUUGCACUGACUGCCAACUAAUUUUGCAGGAGAUGUUGCAGUAAAGAUCCUAAAGGUUGUCAACCCAACCCCAGAGCAAUUCCAGGCCUUCAGGAAUGAGGUGGCUGUUCUGCGCAAAACACGGCAUGUGAACAUUCUGCUUUUCAUGGGGUACAUGACAAAGGACAACCUGGCAAUUGUGACCCAGUGGUGCGAGGGCAGCAGCCUCUACAAACACCUGCAUGUCCAGGAGACCAAGUUUCAGAUGUUCCAGCUAAUUGACAUUGCCCGGCAGACGGCUCAGGGAAUGGAGUGAGUAGAUGGUCUGAUGCCUCUCUGGGACCCAGGCAUCAAAUUUGUCCCUAAAUUGGAACCAGGAUCAGGAAAAGCCUUCUAGUCCAUUAAGCGAUUCUGUGAUAUCUUUGCACAAGCCUCUGGCCUGGGCUGGAGGGGCCAAUUAUCAGGAAUGAGUUGUUCAGGUUCCAGCUGGGUGGGGUGGCUCACACCUGUAAUCCCAGCACUUUGGGAGGCCAAGGCCAGUGGAUCACUUGAGGCCAGUAGUUUUGAGACCAGCCUUGCCAAUAUGGCAAAACCCUGUUUCUACUGAAAAUACAAGAAUGAACCAGGCCUGGUGGCACAUGCCUAUAAUCCCAGCUACUCAGGAGCUGGGACAGGAGAAUCGCUUGAACAUGGAAGGCAGAGGUUGCGGUGAGCUAAGAUCACAUUACUGCACUCCAGCCUGGGCUGCAGAGCGAGACUCUGUCUCAAAAAAAAAAAAAAAGAGAAGUUCAGGUUCCUCCUUGGGACUGAACUUCCCCCUUGGGGCUUAGAUUCGGGCUCUGCCUGCUACCCUGGCUUUAUCAGAAACCUGAGAAUAUAGUGGGGUGCAUGUACCUUCUGCUUGGACAGCUGUGGCAAUGCCUUCUGCUCAGCUGUCUGAGGCAUGGCUGUCCCACAUGAGGGUUUAAGCAGAUGUCGUUUUUGGGAUAAUUUUUUUUUUUUAAUUAAAAACUUUUUCCUGGCCAGGCACGGUGGCUCAUGCCCAUAAUCCCAGCACUUUGGGAGGCUGAGGCGGGUGGAUCACGAGGCCAGGAGUUCGAGACCAGCCUGGCCAAUGUGGUGAAAUCUCAUCUCUACUAAAAAUACAAAAAUUAGCUGGUUGUGGUGGCAGGCGCUUGUAAUCCCAGCUACUCGGGAGGCUGAGGCAGAAGAAUCACUUCAACCCAGGAGGCGGAGGUUGCAGUGAGUGGAGAUUGUGCCAUUGCACUCUAGCCUGGGUGACAGAGCCAGACUCCAUCUGAAAAAAAAAAAAAAAAAAAACACACACACAAAAAAACACACUUUUUUCCUUAGAGACACAGGUUCUCACUCUGUCACCUAUGCUAGAGUGCAGCGGCGCAAUCAUAGCUCACUGCAUCCUUGAACUCCUGGGCUCCAGCUAUCCUCUUGGCUCAGUCUCAUAGGUUGCUGGGACUGCAGGCACAUGCUACUGUGCCCAGCUAAUUUUCGUGUAUUUUGUAGAGUCGGAGGUCUCACUAUGUUGCCCAGGCUGGUCUCAAACUGGACUCAAGUGAUCCUCCCACCUUUCCUGGCCAGCCUAGGGUAGUGCUUCUCAAACUUCUCCUCUGAAGUAGAGGAGCUCCUCGUACCCCUAGACAUCUGGGAGUUACUAAGCUAUAGCUGUGCUUGCAAGUCCUACAUAAAUUCUCACACUGUCUUUAAAAUUCAUAUGGAAGUUGCCUUCUGUGUAUUUUAAGAAAUGGAAUGACUUUUCAGAAAAAUUGAGAUAUAAUUCAUACAUCAUAAAAUUCCCCCUUUUAAAAUGUACACCUACCUCAGUGUUUUUCUGGUAUUGAGUUGUGCAGCCACCACCACUAAUUUUAGAACAUUUUCAUUAUCCCGGAAAGAAACACAUGCCCAUUGUAUUAGUCUGUUUGGGUUGCUCUAAAGGAAGACCUAAGGGUGGGUAAUUUAUAAAGAAAAGAGGUUUAUUUGACUCGGGGUUCUGCAGACUGUACAAAAAGCAUGACACCAGCAUCUGUGUCUGGUGAGGCCCUCAGGAAGCUUUCACUCAUGGCAGAAGGCAAGGGGAGCCACGUGUGAUGUGGUGAGAGAAAGGAGCAAGAGAGAGAGCAUGGAGGGAGGUCCCAGACUCUUUAAUAACCAGGUUUCAUGUGAGCUAAUAGUGUGUGAACUCACUCGUUACUGCAGGGAGGGCACCGAGCUGUUUGUGAGGAAUCCAUCCCCAUGACCCAAACACCUGCCACUUAGGUCCCACCUCCAACACUGGGGAUCACGUUUCAACUUGAGAUUUGGAGUGGACAGAUAUCCAAACGAUAUACCCAUUAGCGGUUACCCAAUACCUCCCACCCACUUGCAGUCUACUUUCUGUUUCUAUGGAUUUUGCCUACUUUAUAGUUCAAUAUAAAUGGAAUCAUGUAAGAUAUAAUAUAGUCAGGUAACAUAUAAUGAUGUUUCGGUCAAUGACCACAUAUAGGAAGGUGGUCCCACAAGAUUAUAAUACUGUAUUUUUACUAUGCCUUUUCUAUGUUUGGUUAUGUUUAGAGACACAAAUACUCACCAUGUUACAACCAGCUACAGUAUUCAGUACACUGAGGGCCAUACAGUUUUGUAGCCUAAGUGCAACAGGCUAUACCAUUUAGCCAGGGUGUGUAGAAGGCUGUACCUUCUUGGUUUGUGUGAAUACACUUUAUGAUGUGUGCAUGAUGACAAGUUGGCUAACAACACAUUUCUCAGAAGGUAUCCCUGCAGUUAAGUGAUGCUUGGCUGUAUAUAAUACAUAAGAUAUGGUAUUGUAUGCCUGGGCUCUUAGACCUAGCAUAGUAUUUUCAAGGUUAAUGUGUAGCAUGUGUCACUACUUCAUUCCUUUCUGUGUCUGAGUAACAUUCCAUUGUAUGGAUAUGCCACAUUAUUCAUUCAUCAUUUAUGGACAUUGGGUUAUCAGAAUUACUUUAGAGUAAAACUGAUGCUUGAAGAAGUGUCAGCAAUGGUCAGGCGCCAGGGGCCCAUGCCUGUAAUCCGAGCAUUUUGGAGGCCAACAUGGGAGGAUCACUUGAGCCCAGGAGUCAAGACCAGCUUGGGCAACAGUGCAAGACCCUGUAUCUACCCAAAAAAA